CUACGGGGCGCUGCAGUGGGGAAUCUUGCACAAUGGAGGAAACUCUGAUGCAGCGAUGCCGCGUGAGUGAAGAAGGCCCUUGGGUUGUAAAGCUCUUUUGUCGGGAAAGAUAAUGACUGUACCCGAAGAAUAAGGUCCGGCUAACUUCGUGCCAGCAGCCGCGGUAAUACGAAGGGACCUAGCGUAAUUCGGAAUUACUGGGCGUAAAGCGCGCGUAGGCGGUUAAGUAAGUUAAUUGUGAAAGCCCAAAGCUCAACUUUGGAAUUGCAAUUAAAACUACUUAGCUAGAGUUUAUCAGAGGAAAGCGGAAUACAUAGUGUAGAGGUGAAAUUCGUAGAUAUUAUGUAGAACACCAGUUGCGAAGGCGGCUUUCUGGGAUAACACUGACGCUGAGGUGCGAAAGUAUGGGUAGCGAAGAGGAUUAGAUACCCCUGUAGUC
This 439-nucleotide ribosomal RNA is filed under the name uncultured bacterium. RNAcentral describes it as "partial 16S ribosomal RNA". It matches the Rfam family "Bacterial small subunit ribosomal RNA", at positions 339 to 795 of the family's 1533-position model. The record is from RNAcentral.